RNAcentral lists this long non-coding RNA (973 nucleotides) under Homo sapiens (human). Its description in RNAcentral is "non-protein coding lnc-CTTNBP2-7:1". The record is from RNAcentral. Lineage: Eukaryota; Metazoa; Chordata; Mammalia; Primates; Hominidae.
GCGAAGUUUACAUGACAACAACAGCUGUCAGAUGAUUCCAGUUCUGCUAGAGGUGAUGAUGAUCUUAAUUUCCUAACAAACAUUAUUACUUCAGCUUUUUCAUUCUCAAAAUGCAGUAUUUUGUGAAAUUUAAUACAGAAAAAUAGAACCUUUGUAGUUCUAUUUGUAUUUCUGGUAUCUAGAAAUACACAUGACAGUGAAAUGCAUCUUGGAACAAAAGCAGAUAUAUAGGCCUGUUGAAAAGAACACAGUUUUGAAAUUAAAGUAGUGACAUGAAAACUGUCUGGAGAAAAUCUAUCACCCUUGUGUUAAGACCAGUCAGAGAGAAUGCACUCAACUAACAUGCAGAUUCUUUAAUGUGUAUUGCCUUCAGAUGUCUACAGGUAAGUUAGAUAUGUAAGUUCCUGUUAUGUUCUUCAAAACCUGUGCCAUAGAAAGACCAGAAUUCCUAUUAAUGCUUGCAAAAUACCAUCAGAGGAAGUUUUACCAUGGAAACCUGACUUCCUGACCUCAGUGGCUGAAUUUCUUUUAUGAUGCUAAAAUCUUAAUGAAUAGAACAGUAGAAACAGCUCCACAAAUUGAAUAAAAAUCUAAAAGAUGAUUCUCUUUUUUCAAACCUAGUAGAUAAAAAAGGUAUUUGUCUUUUUUAAACUAUUUAAGAACUCAGUUCCUUAGAAUGAUAGCUCUAUCUUACUCUGAACCAUAUGAAUAAAUAUAUCCCCUUUGCUUUGAGUAAUGUCAAAAAACAAAAAUAACAACAACAAAAAAUAUUUCAUUUGUGAUUAUGUAAAUCAAUGGUAGCUGAGAUUAGUUUCCAGACACAAAUGGUCAUUCUUACAUACAUGAUACUUGAGUCUGGACUCUGAGAAGCUGACACCAGAUAGAGUACAACUGAUUUUCUGUGUAUAUGUGGACAUUGCUCAGUGCAGAAUCCAGUGAAGUAUAUUAAAUGGAGAUUACAGUAACCAAAAGA